RNAcentral lists this ribosomal RNA (412 nucleotides) under uncultured bacterium. Its description in RNAcentral is "bacterial SSU rRNA". It matches the Rfam family "Archaeal small subunit ribosomal RNA", at positions 726 to 1135 of the family's 1478-position model. The record is from RNAcentral.
AGAAAAUAGAUACCCGGGUAGUCCCAGCCGUAAACGAUGCUCGCUAGGUGUCAGGCAUGGCGCGACCGUGUCUGGUGCCGCAGGGAAGCCGUGAGGCGAGCCACCUGGGAAGUACGGCCGCAAGGCUGAAACUUAAAGGAAUUGGCGGGGGAGCACAACAACGGGUGGAGCCUGCGGUUUAAUUGGACUCAACGCCGGACAACUCACCGGGGGCGACAGCAAUAUGUAGGCCAAGCUGAAGACUUUGCCUGAAUCGCUGAGAGGAGGUGCAUGGCCGUCGCCAGUUCGUACUGUGAAGCAUCCUGUUAAGUCAGGCAACGAGCGAGACCCGUGCCCACUGUUACCAGCAUAUUCUCCGGAAUGAUGGGUACUCUGUGGGGACCGCCUAUGUUAAAUAGGAGGAAGGUGCGGG